GUCUUGGAGUCUCCUCAGUUUUUGUGGUGUUGGGGAAUGGAACCCAGGCCCUGCACAGGCUGGGCAAGUGUUCCACCACUGAGUUACUCCCCAGCCCUCUCUAAUUUUUAUUUUUAUUUUAUUUAUUUAUUUAUUUUUUAUAGGAGGAACAGGAGGUAUUCUUUUUUUUUUUUUUAAAUAGGAGAGAGAGAGAGAGAGAGAGAGAGAGAGAGAGAGAAUUUUUUAAUAUUUUUUUUUUUUAGUUUUUUUUUUGGCGGACACAACAUCUUUGUUUGUAUGUGGUGCUGAGGAUAGAACCCGGGCCGCACGUAUGCCAGGUGAGCGCGCUACCGCUUGAGCCACAUCCCCAGACCCUAAUUUUUAUUUUUAAACUUUAUUUACUUAUUUCUUUGGUGGUACUAGGGACUGAGCCCGGGGGUGCUUUACCACUACAUUUUCAGUCCUUUUCAUUUUAUUUUUAUUUUUUAUUUUUGAAACCGGGUUUUCCUAAGUUGCCCAGGCUGGCCUUGGAUGUACGAUCCUCCUGCUUCAGCCUCCCAAGUCACUAGGAUUACAGGCAUGUGCCACCAUCCUGGCAAGGGUCUUGGGGUCUUGAACAUCUAAUCCCAUCAUAGGCAAAUGCUGAGUACUUGGUUGUAGGAGGAGAACUAAAGCCCACCUGACCAUCCUGCCACCAUUCCACAGUGACCCCCAGAGGCAGGUGGGCAUCUAGGACCCCAGAGGGCUGUGGCAUGGCCAGUAUAAGGUAGGCAGUGUGGUAGAACCCUGUAGAGCACACUGGCACAAACUUGUUCUGUUGAAGGGCAAGUCGUCCAAAUUUUAGGCUUUGGGGCUCUUAAGGUCUCUGGCUCUGUCAGUUACCCAACUUUGCCAUACCUGAUGAAUGAAUCUGUGUUCCAAUAAAACUUUGUGGAUACUGAAAUUUUAAUAUUAUAGGAUUUCCAUAUAUGCCCAAAUUUUAU
RNAcentral lists this long non-coding RNA (962 nucleotides) under Marmota monax (woodchuck). Lineage: Eukaryota; Metazoa; Chordata; Mammalia; Rodentia; Sciuridae. The record is from RNAcentral.